GGCGCUCAAUGGGGCAGGGAUGUGGGGCUCAAUGGGGCUCAGUGGGGCUCAAUGGGGCCCAAUGGUUCUCAGUGGGGCUCAAUGGGGCUGAGAUGUGGGGCUGGGAGUGUGGGGCUGAGAUGUGGGGCUCAAUGGGGCUCAGUGGGGCUCAAUGGGGCUCAGUGGGGUUCAAUGGGGCUCAGUGGGGCUCAAUGGGGCAGGGAUGUGGGGCUCAAUGGGGCUGAGAUGUGGGGCAGGGAUGUGGGGCUCAAUGGGGCCCAAUGGUUCUCAGUGGGGCUCAAUGGGGCCCAAUGGUUCUCAGUGGGGCUCAGUGGGGCUCAAUGGGGCUGAGAUGUGGGGCUGGGAGUGUGGGGCUGAGAUGUGGGGCUCAAUGGGGCUCAGUGGGGCAGAGAUGUGGGGCUCAAUGGUGCUGAGAUGUGGGGCUGGGAGUGUGGGGCAGGGAUGUGGGGCUCAGUGGGGCUCAGUGGGGCAGGGAGUGGGGGGCUCAAUGGGGCUCAAUGGGGCAGGGAUGUGGGGCUCAAUGGGGCCCAAUGUUUCUCAAUGGUCUCAAUGUUUCUCAAUGGGGCUCAGUGGUUCUCAAUGGGGCUCAAUGGGGCUCAGUGGAGUAGGGAUGUGGGGCUCAAUGGGUCCCAAUGGGGCUCAAUGGAGCUCAGUGGGGCAGGGAUAUGGGGCUCAAUGGGGCCCAAUGGUUCUCAAUGGGGCCCAAUGUUUCUCUAUGGGUCCCAGUGUUUCUCAAUGGGGCUCAGUGGGGCAGGGAUGUGGGGCUCAAUGGGUCCCAAUGUUUCUCUAUGGGUCCCAGUGUUUCUCUAUGGGUCCCAGUGUUUCUCAGUGGGUCCCAGUGUUUCUCUAUGGGUCCCAAUGUUUCUCUAUGGGGCUCAGUGGGGCUCAAUGGGGCCCAAUGUUUCUCAAUGGGGCCGAAUGUUCCUCAAUGGGGCUCAGUGUUUCUCUAUGGGGCUCAAUGGGGCAGGGAUGUGGGUCUCAAUGGGUCCCAAUGUUUCUCUAUGGGUCCCAAUGUUUCUCUAUGGGUCCCAGUGUUCCUCUAUGGGUCCCAGUGUUUCUCUAUGGGGCUCAGUGGGGCUCAGUGGGUCCCAGUGCUUCUCUAUGGGGCCCAAUGUUUCUCAAUGGGGCCCAAUGUUCCUCAAUGGGGCUCAGUGUUUCUCUAUGGGGCUCAGUGGGGCAGGGAUGUGGGUCUCAAUGGGUCACAAUGUUUCUCUGUGGGUCCCAAUGUUUCUCUAUGGGGCUCAGUGGUGUUCAGUGGGUCCUAGUGUUUCUCAAUGGGGCCCAAUGUUUCUCUAUGGGGCUCAGAGGGGCUCAAUGGGGCCCAAUGUUUCUCAAUGGGGCCCAAUGUUUCUCAAUGGGGCCCAAUGUUCCUCAGUGGGGCUCAGUGUUUCUCUAUGGGGCUCAGUGGGGCUCAGUGGGUCCCAGUGUUUCUCAAUGGGGCUCAGUGGGGCAGGGAUGUGGGUCUCAAUGGGUCCCAAUGUCUCUCUAUGGGUCCCAAUGUUUCUCUAUGGGUCCCAGUGUUUCUCAGUGGGUCCCAAUGUUUCUCUAUGGGGCUCAGUGGGGCAGGGAUGUGGGUCUCAAUGGGUGCUAA
This is a long non-coding RNA of Coturnix japonica (Japanese quail), 1591 nucleotides long. NCBI's taxonomy places the organism in Eukaryota, Metazoa, Chordata, Aves, Galliformes, Phasianidae. The record is from Ensembl.